RNAcentral lists this long non-coding RNA (254 nucleotides) under Ficedula albicollis (Collared flycatcher). RNAcentral describes it as "lncRNA (ENSFALG00000023714.1)". The record is from RNAcentral. Lineage: Eukaryota; Metazoa; Chordata; Aves; Passeriformes; Muscicapidae.
UCAGCCUGUGACUACAGUGAUUCCACCAUCCCAGAAGUGACUGCUGCUCUGCUCUGGGCUCUCGGUACCUGCCAGUGCCAGGAGUGCUCUCAUGGCACUUGUGGUGUCAAUCAUCUGUAUGCCUGUGCAUUUGAAUCAGAACACAGAUGUUCAGAUACUCUUCUGAGUAUUCAAUCAGGUAAAUUUAGGACACUCUCAUCACAAAACACAAAUAUUUGUGAUUCUCCGGUACAUCUACUCUUUUGAGUUAGGCC